Molecule: ribosomal RNA, 757 nt
Filed under: Myroides sp. TDS9
Lineage: Bacteria; Pseudomonadati; Bacteroidota; Flavobacteriia; Flavobacteriales; Flavobacteriaceae
Description: bacterial SSU rRNA
Rfam family: Bacterial small subunit ribosomal RNA
Source: RNAcentral
GUAAGUCAGUGGUGAAAUUUCCUAGCUUAACUAGGACACGGCCAUUGAUACUGCAGAGCUUGAAUAAUAUGGAAGUAACUAGAAUAUGUAGUGUAGCGGUGAAAUGCUUAGAUAUUACAUGGAAUACCAAUUGCGAAGGCAGGUUACUACGUAUUUAUUGACGCUGAUGAACGAAAGCGUGGGGAGCGAACAGGAUUAGAUACCCUGGUAGUCCACGCCGUAAACGAUGGAUACUAGCUGUUCGGUCUUCGGUCUGAGUGGCUAAGCGAAAGUGAUAAGUAUCCCACCUGGGGAGUACGUUCGCAAGAAUGAAACUCAAAGGAAUUGACGGGGGCCCGCACAAGCGGUGGAGCAUGUGGUUUAAUUCGAUGAUACGCGAGGAACCUUACCAGGGCUUAAAUGUAGAUUGACAGAUUUGGAAACAGAUUUUUCUUCGGACAAUUUACAAGGUGCUGCAUGGUUGUCGUCAGCUCGUGCCGUGAGGUGUCAGGUUAAGUCCUAUAACGAGCGCAACCCCUAUUGUUAGUUACCAGCGCGUUAAGGCGGGGACUCUAGCAAGACUGCCGGUGCAAACCGUGAGGAAGGUGGGGAUGACGUCAAAUCAUCACGGCCCUUACGUCCUGGGCUACACACGUGCUACAAUGGCAAGUACAGAAAGCAGCUACCUGGCAACAGGAUGCGAAUCUCCAAAGCUUGUCUCAGUUCGGAUUGGAGUCUGCAACUCGACUCUAUGAAGCUGGAAUCGCUAGUAAUCGGA